Molecule: unclassified non-coding RNA, 268 nt
Filed under: Hevea brasiliensis (rubber tree)
Lineage: Eukaryota; Viridiplantae; Streptophyta; Magnoliopsida; Malpighiales; Euphorbiaceae
Source: RNAcentral
UCAAAGGUGCUUUUUACUCCAAAUAGCAUCUCAUUUGUUUCAAAUUGAUCCCAGCCCCUAUUCCGAGAGCCAUUGAAUAUAUUCUCUAAUUCAGGGCAUUGUGGGUCAUCUUCAUCAGGUACCCAACGUUCCAGCUCUCUCUCCACUUCAGUGUGACGAGAUUGUGAUAUAAAGGAGUCUAUCAUAAGCUCCUGCUGCUUUUCACACUGGAGCUCAUGGUUCAUCCUAUCCAUGGUUAUAGACACAUCCUUUGCUAUCACUUGUACAA